This is a small nucleolar RNA of Suncus etruscus (white-toothed pygmy shrew), 212 nucleotides long. RefSeq annotates it as small nucleolar RNA U3. The record is from RefSeq and is a predicted model, not a curated record. NCBI's taxonomy places the organism in Eukaryota, Metazoa, Chordata, Mammalia, Eulipotyphla, Soricidae. The transcript has a single exon.
AAGUCCAUACUUUUCAGGGAUCAUUUCUAUAGUAUGAGACUAGAGAAGUUUCUCCGAUCGUGUAGCGCGAACCCAAGCCACGAGGAGGAGCCAGAGCGUUCUCUCCUGAGCGUGAGCCGGCUCUAGGUGUCGCUUCUGCGACUACCUUUUGCCAUUGAUGAUUAUUCUCCCUUUCCUUUGAGAAGGGUAGAGGGAAUGGAUGCAGUCUGAGU